Molecule: ribosomal RNA, 255 nt
Filed under: Staphylococcus aureus
Lineage: Bacteria; Bacillati; Bacillota; Bacilli; Caryophanales; Staphylococcaceae
Description: partial 16S ribosomal RNA
Rfam family: Bacterial small subunit ribosomal RNA
Source: RNAcentral
UUUAUGGAGAGUUUGAUCCUGGCUCAGGAUGAACGCUGGCGGCGUGCCUAAUACAUGCAAGUCGAGCGAACGGACGAGAAGCUUGCUUCUCUGAUGUUAGCGGCGGACGGGUGAGUAACACGUGGAUAACCUACCUAUAAGUCUGGGAUAACUUCGGGAAACCGGAGCUAAUACCGGAUAAUAUUUUGAACCGCAUGGUUCAAAAGUGAAAGACGGUCUUGCUGUCACUUAUAGAUGGAUCCGCGCUGCAUUAGC